This 21-nucleotide non-coding RNA is filed under the name Caenorhabditis elegans. The record is from RNAcentral. Lineage: Eukaryota; Metazoa; Nematoda; Chromadorea; Rhabditida; Rhabditidae.
UAAUGUCUUUUUCAACUUUUC